UACCAGCUCUUCGAGUGGUGUGGAUGUUUAUUGGGCCUAAAGCAUCCGUAGCUGGCUGGGCAAGUCCUCUGUUAAAUCCACCGAUUUAAUCGUUGGAGUGCGGGGGAUACUGUUCGGCUAGGGGACGGGAGAGGCAGACGGUAUUUUCGGGGUAGGGGUGAAAUCCUAUAAUCCCGAGAAGACCACCAGUGGCGAAGGCUGUCUGCUAGAACGCGCCCGACGGUGAGGGAUGAAAGCUGGGGGAGCGAACCGGAUUAGAUACCCGGGUAGUCCCAGCUGUAAACGAUGCAGGCUAGGUGUUUGGACGGCCACGUGCCGUUCUAGUGCCGCAGGGAAGCCGUUAAGCCUGCCGCCUGGGGAGUACGGCCGCAAGGCUGAAACUUAAAGGAAUUGGCGGGGAGCACCACAAGGGGUGAAGCUUGCGGUUU
RNAcentral lists this ribosomal RNA (428 nucleotides) under uncultured archaeon. RNAcentral describes it as "bacterial SSU rRNA". It matches the Rfam family "Archaeal small subunit ribosomal RNA", at positions 474 to 903 of the family's 1478-position model. The record is from RNAcentral.